GCUUUGAUACCUUGAUGCACGAACUCAUUACUCUGAUACUUAUAGAUAUUUAGUGUGUGAUUGAAUUUCAAAAUUCUUGUAUCAAUUAAGAGUUGAGAUAGAAAAAAAUUUUACUAUGUAUGCUUUAUAUUCAAAUUGAAAUACUCUUAUGAUAAAAUAAAAAUUAUUUUGAUAUAGAUGCACUAGUUGCAUUAUUUGCUUGUACUCAAUAUUUUGUCAUAAUAAAAAAGACAAAGAUUGUUG
This 243-nucleotide long non-coding RNA is filed under the name Elaeis guineensis (African oil palm). RNAcentral describes it as "long non-coding RNA (EGUI_LNC031260)". The record is from RNAcentral. Lineage: Eukaryota; Viridiplantae; Streptophyta; Magnoliopsida; Arecales; Arecaceae.